This 253-nucleotide ribosomal RNA is filed under the name uncultured bacterium. RNAcentral describes it as "partial 16S ribosomal RNA". It matches the Rfam family "Bacterial small subunit ribosomal RNA", at positions 524 to 776 of the family's 1533-position model. The record is from RNAcentral.
UACGAAGGGGGCUAGCGUUGUUCGGAAUCACUGGGCGUAAAGGGCGCGUAGGCGGCUUUUCAAGUCGGGGGUGAAAGCCUGUGGCUCAACCACAGAAUUGCCUUCGAUACUGUUAGGCUUGAGACCGGAAGAGGUGAGUGGAACUGCGAGUGUAGAGGUGAAAUUCGUAGAUAUUCGCAAGAACACCAGUGGCGAAGGCGGCUCACUGGUCCGGUCCUGACGCUGAGGCGCGAAAGCGUGGGGAGCAAACAGG